This is a long non-coding RNA of Pleuronectes platessa (European plaice), 281 nucleotides long. RefSeq lists it as uncharacterized. NCBI's taxonomy places the organism in Eukaryota, Metazoa, Chordata, Actinopteri, Pleuronectiformes, Pleuronectidae. The transcript is spliced from 3 exons. The record is from RefSeq and is a predicted model, not a curated record.
AGAUGUAAGACACGUCUCUAUUGGCCAGUCUCGAUCGGAGUGACAGCUUGGCAACACCCACAGUUAGUAACGAGAGAGGGAGUUUUGAAGUCCAUGAUGAGAACGAGUGGGACUCGGGAGCCGAGAGGAUAGAAAAUCAAUGCGCAGAAUGGAAAACCAACCGGGCAGAUCACAGGCCCAGGAACCCAUGCGAUGGCAGCUCCUGCAGAGAGUCAGGGAUAGACUUACUUCUGUCAUCAACAGGCAACCCAUUGACUUUGAAUACCUGUACUUUGUUUGCU